RNAcentral lists this small RNA (24 nucleotides) under Arabidopsis thaliana (thale cress). Its description in RNAcentral is "ATSL069350". Lineage: Eukaryota; Viridiplantae; Streptophyta; Magnoliopsida; Brassicales; Brassicaceae. The record is from RNAcentral.
ACAAAUUACCAUCAUCAUAUCUCU